UACGGAGGAUGCGAGCGUUAUCCGGAUUUAUUGGGUUUAAAGGGUGCGUAGGCGGGAUGCCAAGUCAGCGGUAAAAAUGCGGUGCUCAACGCCGUCGAGCCGUUGAAACUGGCGUUCUUGAGUGGGCGAGAAGUAUGCGGAAUGCGCGGUGUAGCGGUGAAAUGCAUAGAUAUCACGCAGAACUCCGAUUGCGAAGGCAGCAUACCGGCGCCCUACUGACGCUGAGGCACGAAAGUGCGGGGAUCGAACAGG
RNAcentral lists this ribosomal RNA (252 nucleotides) under uncultured bacterium. RNAcentral describes it as "partial 16S ribosomal RNA". It matches the Rfam family "Bacterial small subunit ribosomal RNA", at positions 524 to 776 of the family's 1533-position model. The record is from RNAcentral.